Molecule: ribosomal RNA, 1221 nt
Filed under: Triticum aestivum (bread wheat)
Lineage: Eukaryota; Viridiplantae; Streptophyta; Magnoliopsida; Poales; Poaceae
Description: partial small subunit ribosomal RNA
Source: RNAcentral
AUGGACGGCAUAGGAGGCGCGGGCAAGCUCACGCGGACGCCCUCCUCGCUGCUGCGCUCCCCGACGGUGCGCAACUGCGCCUCCUUCCAGGCGGUGCUGGUGGAGGACCCGGAGCCCGACGACAAGAAGUCGCAGGCGCCGGCGCAGGGCAAGGCGCUGCACCCGCACGGCCUGCGCCCGGGCGGCCCGCCCCACCCGGCCCUCAUCCUCGCGCUGCCGCUCGCGCUGCUCCUCCUGCUGCUCCUCCUCCGCGACGACCGCCACCUGCUCCUCCUCGCCGCCGCCGCCACCGCCGCGCUCGCCGCGGCGGCCGCCGCCGCGCGCCUCCUCCGCGGCCGCCUGCGGAUGCGCCGCUCCCCGCAGUCCGGCUCCGUGCAGUGGUUCAUCGGCGACGAGGACGACAGGCCGCACCACGCCCGGGACACCAAGGGCCGGGCCGCCGCGCACGGCCGCGUGGUGCGGGAGGGCGUCGAGUUCUACAGCAAUGGGGACUGCUACGAGGGGGAGUUCCACAAGGGCCGCUGCAACGGCAGCGGCGUCUACAACUUCUUCGGCAAGGGCAAGUACGAGGGGGACUGGGUGGACGGCAAGUACGACGGCUACGGCAUCGAGAGCUGGGCGCGCGGCAGCCGCUACCGCGGCCAGUACCGCCAGGGCCUCCGCCACGGCCACGGCGUCUACCGCUUCUACAGCGGCGACUGCUACGCCGGCGAGUGGGCCGGCGGCCAGAGCCACGGCAUCGGCGCGCAGACCUGCUCCGACGGCAGCUCCUACGUAGGGGAGUUCAAGUGCGGCGUCAAGCACGGCCUCGGCAGCUACCAUUUCCGAAAUGGCGAUCGCUACGCCGGGGAGUACUUUGGGGACAAGAUCCAUGGCUUCGGUGUCUACCGCUUUGCCAAUGGCCAUUGCUACGAAGGCUCCUGGCAUGAAGGCAAGAAGCAGGGGUUCGGAAUGUACACCUUUCGGAACGGCGACAAGCGAUCCGGGGAGUGGGACUUCGGGACUCUCAAGAGCCCCCUGCCCCCAACAGAUCCUUCAGUCGAGCGCGCCGUGCAGGCUGCGCAACGGGCCGCGGAGAACGCCUUCCACCUGCCGAGGGUCGACGAGCAGGUGCACAAGGUGGUCAUGGCCGCGAACAGGGCAGCCACGGCGGCGCGGGUGGCGGCGAUCAAGGCGGUCCAGAACAGGAUGGACGGCAAAUUCUGCGACACCUAUGUGUGA